This 66-nucleotide transfer RNA is filed under the name Caudoviricetes sp. Its description in RNAcentral is "tRNA-Val". It matches the Rfam family "tRNA". From Rfam's summary of the family: Transfer RNA (tRNA) molecules are approximately 80 nucleotides in length. Their secondary structure includes four short double-helical elements and three loops (D, anti-codon, and T loops). The record is from RNAcentral. Lineage: Duplodnaviria; Heunggongvirae; Uroviricota; Caudoviricetes.
AGGUUAGUAGUUUAAUGGAAGAAUAGCGUGACACGCUGAAUGCAGGUUCGAGUCCUGCCUAGCCUC